Molecule: long non-coding RNA, 1625 nt
Organism: Cygnus atratus (black swan)
Lineage: Eukaryota; Metazoa; Chordata; Aves; Anseriformes; Anatidae
Exons: 3
Source: RefSeq, a predicted model, not a curated record
UGUUUCAAAGUGGGAAAAGACUGAAGGAAGACCCUCCUUGGGUAUUUACUUCGCUCGCAGAUUUUAAAUAAAUGAGUUUCGGGGUGUUUGACUAAAUAGAACCGCCAGGUUCGGGACUAAGCAUAAGAAACGUAAGCAUGGUAAUGAGAAAUAGCCAAUUUCUUCCAUCACUUAGAAAUAUCACCUAAGAGAACACUUGCAAUUAGUGUCUCUGCACACGGCAGAGCGAAUCCCCCAGGAAUACCAGCUCCUGACCACCGGCAGCCCUGACAUGCCUCAGAGCCGCCACUCCCCCCACACACAGAUGUGCGUUUUGAAACGGCCAUCCUUCGGUCCGCUUACAAUGGAGAAUCUAAACACAACGCCUGACAGACUUACUCUGGAAGCAACUGUCUCUCUGCAGAAGAAGAAGAAGAAUGCAGCUGCACAGCCUGGCUCUGCACCGUGGGGCCUGUGGAAGCCGCCUGACACUGGCAACUGACAUCCGCUAUCCAGGUACGGAGCAGGUACAGGACCCGAAGCAGCAGCAGCAGCCACUGCCUGUGUUUCUUGAAGCCGCCCAGGGACUGUGACACUGCUCUGCCCACCAGGCAGCUGGAGCAGGACUAGGACUCUUGUCAGCCACUAGCCGGAGGCACUGCCAAAGAGUGCAGCAGCAGCAAGCAGAAGAGCGUUAUCUGACCAUCGGCUUACAAGAUUUUCCAAGCAAUCUAUCCUGGGCCAGUAUCUUGCAGCACUAAUCCUUCGGCUAGUCUGCUCAACUGCCCUCUCAAAUACUUUUAUCAGCAGUUAAGUAAGAAGAGUUCCUUGAGUUUGUGCAGUGUCUUUUCUCUUCCCCACCUCUAAAGAUGACAAAUAACAUUACUUACAAUUUCCAGUUCACAGUGCAAAACUAAAGACAGUAUAUAAGUUACCCGCUACGUGGCAACACAUCAAACCAUACAACCUGUACAAGAGGCGAAAAACACCAAAAACUUUGCACCUAAGCAAUGCCUAUGUCUAACAUGUAGCCCAAUGUCUAAACUUUACUUUUUAGAUUCAACAUAUAUUCCCAGCUGAACACAAUAUAAGGCUGGCAUGGAAGUGAAUCAUUUUUAAAGCUCUCCUUUAAUCUACAGUACAAAUACAUAUAUAUUAAAAAGGAAUCUUUUCCUGCUCAUAAAAGCCAUCAAGGGAAAUAGAAUAAUUCAAGUCAUUUCCCAUUUGUAGUUACUGAGACACAAGAUAUAUUUAAACAGUUGGUACAGAAAAAAUGGAAAGCAUCUACCAUAUCAAUGUACAGCUAGCAUGCCAAACCAUUAAUGUAAGAGCUAAACAAGGGAUGAAUACAUCAUGUGCAAUAGUCUCACAUGAUAUAAAUUAUUCAAUACCUGACCAAAGAAAACAGCUUUCAGGAGAGAGGGGGAGGAUCUGAAAGUGCUUUUGUAGUUUGAAUAAAUACAGUAUUAUGAAUUGAUGACAAAUAUGCUUUUACAAAAGGGAAAAAAAAUCUUCCUAACUCUACAGCACAGUUAAAUAAUCACGUUUAUUUUCAAACUAUUUCACUAAGUUAUGUCAAUCCAACUUGCAUUCUGUUGUUUACCAUAAAGGUUGAUUUCAUUUUAUACAGUGUUGAGAAUUCUGAA